CUCUUCACUCGUCAGAGAUUCUGCGUGUGAAACCGAUUUCCGCACAUGCGCAGUGGUUGCCUCAGAGCCUAGUCUACACCUAGGUAGCGGCACGGUUGGUCCGCGAGCGUCUGCGGCUAGGGACAGAUGUUCAAGACAGAGGCUAGAGCCCUUUGUCAAAGAGCUGAACCACAACCCUGGCCCAAGAAUCAGAGAAGCUAAAGGAGGCUGUAAGGAAACUUGGGGUGAUUGCAGACCCAACCACUCUUCAUACCAAGGAGGCAGACACCUGUGUCUCAGCAUGGAGAAGAGCCUACCACCGAGCCCACAAGCCCAGACAUGGUUACCUUUUUGCGUGGCCGAAGCUUGUCCCGCCAUUCCUUCAGGUUCUGGUUAUGGCUCUCAUCUAGGGCCUUCAGCUUCUGGGUUUCAUGUUCUACCAGGAGGUGACACUUUUCAUUCUGGAACAAAUUCCAGGCAGAACAGAAGAAAUUUGUGGUAAGGAUGAGGACAUGGACCUGACUGACGUACUCCCAACUUU
Molecule: long non-coding RNA, 520 nt
Organism: Lutra lutra (Eurasian river otter)
Lineage: Eukaryota; Metazoa; Chordata; Mammalia; Carnivora; Mustelidae
Exons: 4
Source: RefSeq, a predicted model, not a curated record